ACUUUGUGCAGGAGCAUUAUAGUACUUCUGUGGAUACUUUCCCUUUUGGCAACGCGGCUACAUAAAAGACAUGGUGCGUUUUUGCAGGAGGUCCCCAAAAUGGUCCCAAAUAUCCUCCAAUCAGAGGACCGCCAUUCACAGGGCAUCCCCCUCCACGCCCUCUACCAGUUGGACGUCCUCCAAAGCGUCCGAGACUGUCAAGGCUGCGACGAAUAUGACAAACACGUGAGACAUAACAAGGAGCAGUUUCAUGUCGUGGCCACAGCAACAA
Long non-coding RNA from Rhipicephalus sanguineus (brown dog tick), 271 nucleotides. RefSeq lists it as uncharacterized. Lineage: Eukaryota; Metazoa; Arthropoda; Arachnida; Ixodida; Ixodidae. The record is from RefSeq and is a predicted model, not a curated record. The transcript is spliced from 3 exons.